RNAcentral lists this long non-coding RNA (3407 nucleotides) under Gossypium barbadense (sea-island cotton). Its description in RNAcentral is "long non-coding RNA (GBAR_LNC017097)". Lineage: Eukaryota; Viridiplantae; Streptophyta; Magnoliopsida; Malvales; Malvaceae. The record is from RNAcentral.
CGCGUGUUAAUUGGCUGAAGAAUGGGGAUCGUAAUACCAGUUUUUUUCAUAAGGUAGCUGUCCAACGUCACUUUUGUAGUAGAAUUUCUAAACUGGAAGAUGGAGCUAGUAGAAGGACUAAUUCAACUGAGGAGUUUCUUCAGAUAGCUUCCGACUAUUUUGGUAAGCUUUUCUCAGCUUCAAAGUCAGGUUCGGAUGAGCAUUUGUUUGGCUUAGUAGAGAAAAAAGUUACCAAUUGUAUGAAUGAAAGGCUUUUAAGACAAUUCACGGAGGAAGAUAUUGCCUGUGCAGUUAAGUCCUUGGCGCCUUUGAAAGCCCCUGGAUUGGAUGGGUUUCCGGCCCUCUUUUUUCAACGUUAUUGGCAUAUUGUUGGGCCUGAGGUUACCCACUUUUGUUUAACUGUUCUGCAGGGACAAGCGGAUUUGAGUGUUAUUAACAAAACGCGCAUUAUCCUGAUUCCAAAGGUUGAGAAGCCAAGUAAUAUGACUCAUUUCAGACCUAUCAGCCUUUGCAAUGUCAUUUACAAAAUUAUAGUAAAAGUGUUGGUAAUACGAAUGACCGAGUAAUAUGACUUAUUUCUAAUAAUGUGCUGAUUGCUUAUGAGAUACUUCACUCUUUAAAAAUGAAGAAGAGAGGUAAGAAAGGCAAUUUUGCGCUUAAACUCGAUAUGAGUAAAGCAUAUGAUCGUGUGGAAUGGGAUUUCUUGGCAGGUAUGAUGAAGCACCUGGGUUUCAUGUGGAUUGGAUCGUUCUUAUCAUGCAUUGUGUCUGCUCUGUUACAUACUCCGUCAGUCUUAAUGUAACUAGUGUGGAUUGGUUCACACCUUCAAGAGAACUAAGGUAAGGGGAUCCUCUCAGUCCAUAUUUGUUCUUUAUUUGUGCUGAAGGGUUUUCGCUGCUCAUUCAGGAAGCUAAAGCUAAAGGGAUGAUGAUGGGGGCACUUAUAGGUAGAGAGAAAUUUUCGAUCAACCAUUUAUUCUUUGCGAAUGACUGUAUUCUUUUUGGUGAUGCCUCUUGUGAAGGAACAGAAGUGGUUUGGGCCAUUAUUCACGAAUAUGAAAUGGUCUCGGGGCAAAAAGUGAAUUUUGAAAAAUCCCUCAUUUUUUUCGGUGCAAAUGUCGAUUCUAGUGUUCAGGAGAAUAUUGUUAAUUUGCUAGGGGCUCGUCUGGCCUCAAAUCCCGAGAAGUAUCUCGAUUUGCCUAUGAUGGUGGGUAGGAGGAAGAAGUGGGCUUUUGCUAAUUUUGUGGACCGAUUCAGAAAACGGGUUGAGGGAUGGAGUAUGCGUUAUCUUUUAAUGGGGGUAAGGAGGUUUUCAUAAAGUCAGUUUUGCAGGCAACUUCAAUUUAUGCUAUGCAGUGUUUCUUAUUGCCAAAGUCAUUAUGCAAAACAUUGGAAGGCAUAAUGAAUCGGUUCUGGUGGACGAAUAACAAAACCUCGAAGGGGAUCCAUUGGAGUUCUUGAGAUGUUCUAUGUAAACCGAAAUGUUUUGGAGGGCUGGGGUUUAAAAAUUUAUUCUUGUUUAAUAAGGCCCUUUUAGCGAAGCAGGUGUGGCGUAUUUUAACCCAGCCCCAUUGUUUGUUAGCCAAGGUUUUAAAAGCCUGGUACUUCCCUCUUUCCACUAUACUAACAACAAAGUUUGGUUCUUACCCUUCAUUUACCUGGAGGAGUAUCUGGAGGAGUAUUUGUAGUGCGCGGGAGCUGAUCAGUGAUGGAAUUUUGUGGCGUGUGGGAAAUGGUGCAGGUAUCAAUAUUUGGAAUGACCCCUGGUUACCUGGAAGGGAGAACAACAGAAUCCCAGUUCAUGAAAUUAAGCCUUCUUGGUCAACAGUGAAUCAGUUAAUGAAUGAAGAUGACAGUACCUGGAAUAGAGAGUUGAUUCACAAUCUAGUGGAUGAUGACACUGCAAAUCGAAUCUUUGCCAUUCCUAUCUCUGAAAGCCGACCAGAGGAUAAGAUGGUAUGGAAGUAUGAAGGCUCAGGUGAGUAUACUGUUAGGAGUGGGUAUCGAGUCCUUAUUACAGACUAUUUACAGAGCAAUUUACACAUGUCCUCUAGAGAUGAAAAAUACAAAAGUUUUUACAUGGAUCUAUGGGCUUUGCAUAUUCCGGAGAAAAUAAAAAUACAUGUAUGGAGGUUGUUUAAUAAUAUGGUGCCACAUUAUGGGAAUUUGGCACGUAGAACACUGUGUGAGGAGGCCGUAUGUCCACUGUGCGAGGAAGAUCUGGAAACCACAGUACAUUUGUUGGGAUAUUGUAGGGUCCUUCAAAAUGUAUGGAUGUCGUUGCAAGUUCAAUCUCCCCCUUUGGACGACUCCCUGGAUUAUAAGACUAUCUUUGUUAAAACAUUUCUUGAAGCAGAAGGUUGACAAAAAAGGUUUAUUGCUUUAUCUCUAUUUGGGAUUUAUCAGGGGCUAUGAGCGAGAUCUUUGGAUUGUUCGAGAGAAUAUAUGUGCUUCUACUGCUCUUAUGAGAAAUGAAGUUUGGAGGCCUCCUGACUAUGGUACUAUCAAAAUUAAUUUUGAUGCGUCGUAUAUUCCAGGAAAAAAACUAGCAACAAUAGCAGUCUUAGCCAGAAAUCACAGAGGGGAAGUUAUAGAGGCAGCCGCUUAUCUGGUGGAAGACGUGGAUGACGCAUUUGUGGCAGAAGCACGAGCUUGUGAAAGAGCGCUAAUCCUCGCUAGAAUAAAGGGCUUUCGACGGUUGAUUGUGGAAGGGGACUCCCUGACAGUCAUUAAAAAACUGAUUAAAAAUGAGGAAGAUAGAUCGAUUCUUAGGCCGAUUGUUCAUAGUAUUCAUAGGUUGCGCCAGGAUCUUGAUAAGGUCUCUUACAAGUUUGUAACCCGUUCGAUUAACGCUGCAGCCCAUGUCUUGGCAGUGGAAGGUCAGCAUAGGAGAGUGUGUGGGACCUGGGUUGAUGGGGUACCGUAGACUGUGCGUCUGGUGGUGGAGGAAGACUGGCUACGAUGGUGCCAACGAAUCUAAGAUCCAUAAUUUUCGCUUUGAGUUGGAGAAGGUUCAUUGAAUCUCUAAUGCUAUUUGCAAAGCGUUGCUGGCUCCUGGUUUCUGGUCGUUAAUACUGAGGACAUGGAGCCCUGCUGUGACUGAUAAUGGAGAUUGAAAAGUUUUGUUGCAGGCUCAUGCGUUUUCUGUUUAAUGCUGUUUCGAUAUUUUCUAGGCUUACUUUUAUUUUUCUUUUAUGCUGGACAGCUGUGGAUAUCUUUGUUGUCGUUUUCUUGACUGUUUGGUGGCCUUUCAGCUACUCCUUUUUGAGCCUGUUAAUUCUAAUAUCAGUCCUUUUCUCAAAAUCAUGGUUUGGAUCAAGUUUUGAAAUAUUUAUUAAAACGUGGAAAAGUAAGUAGAAUAAAAACCCUGGAAACAAGUUUCUUCUUGGAAAAUUGAUUACCGUAGAU